RNAcentral lists this ribosomal RNA (426 nucleotides) under uncultured bacterium. RNAcentral's name for it is "partial 16S ribosomal RNA". It matches the Rfam family "Bacterial small subunit ribosomal RNA", at positions 354 to 796 of the family's 1533-position model. The record is from RNAcentral.
GUGAGGAAUUUUCCGCAAUGGGCGAAAGCCUGACGGAGCAAUGCCGCGUGAAGGAUGAAGGCCUAUGGGUUGUAAACUUCUUUUCUCAGAAAAGAAUUAUGACGGUAUCUGAGGAAUAAGCAUCGGCUAACUCUGUGCCAGCAGCCGCGGUAAGACAGAGGAUGCAAGCGUUAUCCGGAAUGAUUGGGCGUAAAGCGUCUGUAGGUUGUUUAAAAAGUAUUCUGUCAAAGAUUAGGGCUUAACCCUAGAUAGGCAGAAUAAACUUUUAAGCUAGAGUUUGGUAGAGGCAGAGGGAAUUCCCUGUGGGGCGGUGAAAUGCGUAGAUAUCGGGAGGAACACCAAAGGCGAAGGCACUCUGCUGUGCCAAUACUAACACUGAGAGACGAAAGCGAGGGGAGCAAAUGGGAUUAGAUACCCCUGUAGUCC